This 101-nucleotide ribosomal RNA is filed under the name uncultured bacterium. RNAcentral's name for it is "partial 16S ribosomal RNA". It matches the Rfam family "Bacterial small subunit ribosomal RNA", at positions 1384 to 1482 of the family's 1533-position model. The record is from RNAcentral.
UACACACCGCCCGUCACACCAUGGGAGUCUGUUGCUCCAGAAACGGCUGCGCUAACCCGCAAGGGGGGCAGGUCUUUAAGGAGUGGCAGGUAACUGGGGUG